GCGACGCCGCGUGGAGGACGAAGGUCUUCGGAUGGUAAACUCCCUUUAGAGGGGAAGAAAAAAAUGACGGUACCCUCAGAAAAAGCCACGGCUAACUACGUGCCAGCAGCCGCGGUAAUACGUAGGUGGCGAGCGUUACUCGGAAUUACUAGGCGUAAAGCGUAUGCAGGCGGUUUGAUAAGUCCUCGGUGAAAUUUUCCGGCUCAACCGGAAAGGGAACGAGGAUACUGUCAGGCUUGAGUGUGGCAGGGGGAGACGGAAUUCCUGGUGUAGCGGUGAAAUGCGUAGAUAUCAGGAGGAACACCGAUGGCGAAAGCAGUCUCCUGGGCCAAUACUGACGCUAAAGUACGAAAGCUAGGGUAGCAAACAGGAUUAGAUACCCUGGUAGUCCUAGCUGUAAACGAUGUUCACUAGAUGUGGGAGGUAUCGACCCCUUCCGCGUCGACGCUAACGCAUCAAGUGACCGCCUGGGGAGUACGGCCGCAAGGUUGAAACU
This 496-nucleotide ribosomal RNA is filed under the name Atopobium sp. oral taxon H58. RNAcentral's name for it is "bacterial SSU rRNA". It matches the Rfam family "Bacterial small subunit ribosomal RNA", at positions 391 to 901 of the family's 1533-position model. Lineage: Bacteria; Bacillati; Actinomycetota; Coriobacteriia; Coriobacteriales; Atopobiaceae. The record is from RNAcentral.